UAAAAGUGAGCUUUACACGUGUUGAGAGUAGCUUAAUGCGGUCUCCCCUUCACGCAGAGCUUCAUUUGGACAAUCCCAUCUGAUGAAGUUGAAAAGCCGAAUCAACCUGUUCCACACCAGAGCCUCUGAGAUCUCCUCUCCAACAUGAUCAAGACAAUCUGCCUCUCUCUAGAUGCUCGCUCGUGAUGUCUCCAUUGAGUAAAUCGCGGGGAAUGUCAGAGCAGGAGAUUCCAUCAAAACCCGAAGAUCUGCUCAGAUGGUAGAGCACCCGCGCCUCAGUGGACGCUUAUUGCGAAUUUAACUGAAAUGCAGUCUCUCAUAUCACCAGUGACUAAGGCUAUCCUUGUAGCGCUGUUUAUUUUUGCCAUUUUGCUGAUCCUGUAUGUAAUACUGUGGUAUAUAUGCAGAGACGUGGACUGUGAUCACGGCAUCUGAAGCAUUGAUCUGUGGAGAAGUCAGGGUGACCUCGGUUUUCCCAGUCAAAAUGUCAAAGUUGCACCGGUGACUAGUGGCGCCAGACAUGAGACGGUCAGACGGUUGACGAACAGUUCCUGAAGUCAGAACUUCCUGUUGACCCGCCUGGUGCAUUCUGGGAAGGAUUGUGGUUCUCGUCCUGGACCUGCACGGCAUACUCACAUGGAAGAAGCCGUCGCUGUUGAGAAACAUCUGAGAUCUUCUGAGAAACACUUGAGAUGAUCUGAGAUCUUCUGAGAAACACCUGAGAUCUUCUGAGAAACACUUGAGAUGAUCUGAGAUCUUCUGAAACACCUGAGAUCUUCUGAGAAACACUUGAGAUGAUCUGAGAUCUUCUGAGAAACACCUGAGAUCUUCUAAGAUCUUCUGAGAAACACCUGAGAUCUUCUGAGAAACACCUGAGAUUUUCUAAGAUCUUCUGAGAAACACCUGAGAUCUUCUGAGAAACACCUGAGAUCUUCUGAAAAACACUUGAUGAUCUGAGAUCUUCUGAGAAACACUUGAUAUGAUCUGAGAUCUUCUGAGAAACACCUGAGAUCUUCUAAGAUCUUCUGAGAAACACAUGAGAUCUUCUGAGAAACACAUGAGAUGAUCUGAGAUCUUCUGAGAAACACCUGAGAUCUUCUGAAAAAACACCUGAGAUCUUCUGAGAAACACCUGAGAUCUUCUAAGAUCUUCUGAGAAACACAUGAGAUCUUCUGAGAAACACAUGAGAUGAUCUGAGAUCUUCUGAGAAACACCUGAGAUCUUCUGAAAAACACCUGAGAUCUUCUGAGAAACACCUGAGAUUUUCAAAGAAACACUUGAGAUGAUCUGAGAUCUUCUGAGAAACACUUCAGAUGAUCUGAGAUCUUCUGAGAAACACCUGAGUUCUUCUCCUCCUCAGGACUCGCUGUCUCUGUGACGCACAAUGCAGUCGCUUCACUUUUAUAAACCGGUUGAACUGAAGGUGGAAGUUGCUCAGAUGCAAACGAACCAUUCUUUAUUACACGAGUCGGUCGAUUCCUUCCCAGUGUUGGCAAUCUCACGGCGGAGAACUGUGCCUGAGGAUCUAUGAAGAGUCAGACGAUCAUGAGUGUGUGUUGUUCUUCUGAAGGGCUCGUCUGUGAUCGUCUUUCCCGCACUGCGAGUGUGUGAGUGUGUUUCUGUCAUGAUGUGAUGAUGUAAUGAAUCUGGAGAGUCUUUCACUCUUAAAACGAAUGGUUCAGUGGUUCUUGACUCAGUGUCUUAAAUCCAUAAUACGGUAACGCUUUAUUUAACGUCCCCUAUAGUGAAAAUCCAGCGUUUAAUGUUGUUUAUGUGUGUAUGUGGUGUUUUUAAUCCACUUUAACACAC
Pimephales promelas (fathead minnow) is the source of this 1809-nucleotide long non-coding RNA. RefSeq lists it as uncharacterized. The record is from RefSeq and is a predicted model, not a curated record. Lineage: Eukaryota; Metazoa; Chordata; Actinopteri; Cypriniformes; Leuciscidae.